RNAcentral lists this ribosomal RNA (253 nucleotides) under uncultured bacterium. Its description in RNAcentral is "partial 16S ribosomal RNA". It matches the Rfam family "Bacterial small subunit ribosomal RNA", at positions 524 to 776 of the family's 1533-position model. The record is from RNAcentral.
UACGAAGGGGGCUAGCGUUGCUCGGAAUUACUGGGCGUAAAGGGCGCGUAGGCGGGCGGUUAAGUCAGGGGUGAAAUCCUGGAGCUCAACUCCAGAACUGCCUUUGAUACUGAAGAUCUUGAGUUCGGAAGAGGUGAGUGGAACUGCGAGUGUAGAGGUGAAAUUCGUAGAUAUUCGCAAGAACACCAGUGGCGAAGGCGGCUCGCUGGCCCGAUACUGACGCUGAGGCACGAAAGCGUGGGGAGCAAACAGG